CCACUGCUGAGGAGUCCCACGAUAGGACGAAACGGCCGUUCAGUGC
This 46-nucleotide non-coding RNA is filed under the name Schistosoma curassoni. The record is from RNAcentral. Lineage: Eukaryota; Metazoa; Platyhelminthes; Trematoda; Strigeidida; Schistosomatidae.